CUAGGAUUAGGGCAAGAAAGACUUGGCUAAUGUUAAAAUGGUCCAACAAUCGGGGGGGGGGUUUAUGUAAAUAAUGAUAUACAUUAAGUGCAGUGUUGUGCAGUCAUAAAUGUAGUUAAUAUUAAAACAUGUGGCCACCUGUUACUAUGCGUGCCGAAAGAGAAAACACAACAUGUUUACUUUCCGUGUCACCAAGUGUUCACAAUGAGCAGGGCUCCCAUCCCUCCUCGUCUGUGCAAAAGCAAGAGGACUUUCCUGGAAAGAGGGCUUCCGUGCUGGCAGAGAGUGUGCCGUCUUUGCCUUCCAAGGGGAGGACUCUAGGAAAUUCCCAAUAGGGAACAAUGCGUCUGCUUCAGAGUGUCAACGUGAAAAGCUGCCAUCAGCAAGGAGAAUCUUCCUAAAACAGGUGAGAAAGGGUCUUGGAGAAAAAAUUUUUGUACAACAACAAUGUCUACCCUAUGGUACACCCAAUAUUUGAUAAACAGUGAAAUGUAGGGAAAUAGACCUGAAAAUUCAGGUACAAAGGAAUUGCGACAUUUUUGGAUAAAAAUGCAUUGAACAUCUUGCAAAUACUCAAGAUAGGUCUAACGAGGUAUUUCCCCUGCCUUAAAAAAUCAACCCCAUGUACAUUCUUCUUUUUCUGCCUGUCUCUCUUUCUCACUGUUUUUCUCUCUGUGCAGUGAGAAUCUACAGUGUGCUGAGAAAAAUGUAUCUUUUUCCUGCAGCUGGCUCUGAGCUUGUCUCCUGCAGACAGUGAACGGCCCAGAGAUAAAGCCCAUCCCCACCAGGCCCCACCAGCAAUCUUGUGGAAACAGAGCCCCUGUGUUUGCCUGUGGUGGGGUCUGCCAUGUCUCUCUUUUAGGUGCUUGGCAUGUUGAAAAGAACUGCUGAGUUGGUCAUUGAUGGAGACAUGGCAUUCUUGUACAAGGGGACAGGGAAGACCCCAGGGGACCCUGGGGCUGCCCCCUCUGCAGGUGGCGCUCGCUAGCCAGGAGGCAUGAAGUCACACUCCCCCUGGCUGGGCAGCCUUGCAGGGCUCAGCUUUCAAGGGCCUCAACCCAUUAAUUAAAGAGCCCUCAUGAGCAGAUGCACGGCCUCUGGUCAAGACAGACUUGAACAUUGGUCAAGACAGACUUGAACACGCGGUAACAGGUGCAGAUGAAAGCUGGCACUCGGGGCCUGUGGGUUCCGUUCCUACUUCCUGUCUUGCUCCCUCUUACACAGUCGCCAUGUCUCAACUAAAGAUGCUCUUUGCUUGUCCUAAAGUGGUAGCAUGUGUUGGCUGCACUGGUCUGUGUCUCACUGAAUCCCUGUGUUGCUGAACAUGACUGUGGA
RNAcentral lists this long non-coding RNA (1335 nucleotides) under Sus scrofa (pig). Its description in RNAcentral is "lncRNA (ENSSSCG00060057893.1)". The record is from RNAcentral. Lineage: Eukaryota; Metazoa; Chordata; Mammalia; Artiodactyla; Suidae.